GUGUUCACUUCGGCAGCGCAUACACUAAAAUUGGAAUGACACAGAGAUGAUUAGCCUGGCCCCUGCUCAAGGAUGACGUGCAAAUUCAUGAAAUGUUCAAUAUUUUU
Small nuclear RNA from Artibeus jamaicensis (Jamaican fruit-eating bat), 107 nucleotides. NCBI's taxonomy places the organism in Eukaryota, Metazoa, Chordata, Mammalia, Chiroptera, Phyllostomidae. The record is from RefSeq and is a predicted model, not a curated record.